Molecule: ribosomal RNA, 1536 nt
Filed under: Triticum aestivum (bread wheat)
Lineage: Eukaryota; Viridiplantae; Streptophyta; Magnoliopsida; Poales; Poaceae
Description: partial small subunit ribosomal RNA
Source: RNAcentral
AUGGCGGGCAGCACGACGACGACGAUGACGGCGUCGCCGUUCCCGACGGUGGACAAGUGCGCGUCGGCGGGGCGGAGCGGGGACACGGUGGUGGCGGACCUGGACGGCACGCUGCUGUGCGGCCGGAGCUCCUUCCCCUACUUCGCGCACAUGGCCUUCGAGACCGGCGGCGUGCUCCGCCUCCUGGCGCUGCUCCUGCUGGCGCCGCUCGCGGGCCUGCUCUACUACCUCGUGUCCGAGUCCGCCGGGAUCCAGGUGCUCAUCUUCGCCUCCAUGGCCGGCGCCAGGGUGGACGACGUCGAGGCCGUCGCGCGCGCCGUGCUGCCCAAGUUCUACUGCUCCGACCUCCACCCGGAGUCCUGGCGCGUCUUCUCCGCCUGCGGCCGCCGCUGCGUGCUCACCGCCAACCCCAGGAUCAUGGUGGAGGCCUUCCUCAAGGACUACGUCGGCGCCCACCUCGUGCUCGGCACCGAGCUCCUCGUCUGCCGCGGCAGGGCCACCGGCCUCGUCCGCUCCCCCGGCGUCCUCGUCGGCGACAACAAGGCCGCCGCGCUCCGCCAGGCGUUCGGCGACGCCGCGCCGGAGCUCGGACUCGGCGACAGGAAGACGGACUACCCCUUCAUGCGGCUCUGCAAGGAGGGGUACGUGGUGCCCCCGACGCCCAAGCUCAAGCCCGUGCCGAGGGAGGACCUGCCCAAGCCCGUCAUCUUCCACGACGGCCGGAUCGUGCAGAAGCCGUCGCCGGCGCUCGCGCUGCUCACCUUGCUCUGGAUCCCCAUCGGCUUCCUGCUCUCCUGCCUCCGCAUCGCCGCCGGCUCGCUCCUGCCCAUGCGCAUGGUGUACCACGCCUUCACCGCGCUCGGCGUGCGCGUCACCGUCAAGGGCAACCCGCCACCGCCGGCCAGCCUUGAGACCGGCCAGACCGGCGUGCUCUUCAUCUGCUCCCACCGCACCCUCCUCGACCCCAUCUUCCUCUCCACCGCCCUCGGCCGCCCCAUCACCGCCGUCACCUACUCGGUGUCGCGGCUGUCGGAGAUGCUGUCGCCGAUCCGCACGGUGCGGCUGACGCGCGACCGGGCGGCGGACGCGGCCAUGAUCCGGCGCCUGCUCAGGGAGGGGGACCUGGUGAUCUGCCCCGAGGGCACCACGUGCCGGGAGCCCUUCCUGCUGCGCUUCUCCGCGCUCUUCGCCGAGCUCACCGACGAGAUCGUGCCGGUGGCCAUGGAGAACCAGAUGAGCAUGUUUCACGGCACCACCGCGCGCGGCUGGAAGGGCCUCGACCCCUUCUACUUCUUCAUGAACCCCAGCCCCGGCUACGUGGUCACCUUCCUCAACAAGCUGCCCCACGAGCUCACCUGCAAGGGCGGCAAGACCAGCCACGAGGUGGCCAACUACAUCCAGAGGCUCAUCGCCUCCACCUUGUCCUACGAGUGCACCAGCUUCACCAGGAAGGACAAGUACAAGGCGCUCGCCGGCAACGACGGAUCUGUCGUCUCCAAGCCAAACAUUGACAAGAAGAAGUUCAUGGGCUCCUAA